GAUGAAGAACGUAGCGAAAUGCGAUAAGUAAUGUGAAUUGCAGAAUUCAGUGAAUCAUCGAAUCUUUGAACGCACAUUGCGCCCGCCAGUAUUCUGGCGGGCAUGCCUGUUCGAGCGUCAUUUCAACCAUCAAGCUCCCGGGCUUGCGUUGGGGCCCUGCGGCUGCCGCAGGCCCCUAAAACCAGUGGCGGGCUCGCUGUCACACCGAGCGCAGUAGCAUUUCUUCGCUCUGGGCGCGGCGGCGGGCGCUUGCCGAAAACAUACCACUUUUUAAAGGUUGACCUCGGAUCAGGUAGGAAUACCCGCUGAACUUAAGCAUAUCAAUAAGCGGAGGA
Molecule: unclassified non-coding RNA, 335 nt
Filed under: soil metagenome
Description: partial contains 5.8S ribosomal RNA, internal transcribed spacer 2, and large subunit ribosomal RNA
Rfam family: 5.8S ribosomal RNA (bases 1-120)
Source: RNAcentral